Lactuca sativa (garden lettuce) is the source of this 6765-nucleotide long non-coding RNA. RefSeq lists it as uncharacterized. The record is from RefSeq and is a predicted model, not a curated record. Lineage: Eukaryota; Viridiplantae; Streptophyta; Magnoliopsida; Asterales; Asteraceae.
UUUAAAAUCAGAAAGAUAAAGCAAUGCGGGAGUCUAAAACUUGUCAAAACCCGAUCCAAUAGCCAAAACAAGGCAAAUUCACUUUUUACAAUUGGGUUAAUCCACUAAUCUUUUUAAGAUCACAUAUGAAGACAUGAUGGAAAAGAAACACGAUAUUUUGACUGAUACUUUAUACACAAAAUCUCAUGUAAGGGAAACCGGUUUUUUAUGCUAGUGUGGGUCCCAUGAUCUUAUAAUUUGUGUAGAGGUGAAAAAACCGAGGAGAGUAGGAGUGCUAUAAAGCCAUAAAUAAAAUAUUAGAGUUUAUGAAACUAUUUAAAAAUAUAAACAAGUUGCAUAAAGUGCCCCAAAGUUUGUGUUAGUUUUCAUAAACACACUCAAAUGGUCAUACUUCAAGCAAUAGACAUGUUCAUUUUCAAAUUCACUAACUGAACUUUAUAUAACAGAAUAAUCACCUGCAUUUUAUUUUUAUUUAUUCUCAUAUAAGAAAAAAGGUAAGUCACUAGAACCCAAUAUAAUUAGACACGUGAAUUGUGAUUUAGAUUGAAGGGUUUUAUUGAAUACAUAUUGUUAUUAGGGUGUUUUAUGAAACUAUCUAUAACUUAGAGGUCUUUUGGAAAAUAUUAAUAAAUUAGAACGCCAUACCUCUAUUUCCUUAUCCCAACUUUUGGAGCUUAUCUAAAUUAAAAAAGAACCACUCGUGUCAGGUUGAUGACAUGGACCUCUUAUAAAAUGACACGUGUUCAUGAAUGCUUUGAUACGUGUGCUCAUCAACUCCAUAUCCACUCUGUUAGGUGUGAACACAUAUAGAUGCCUUUUGAUAAGGUUUCUUUUGUUUUAAUUUGGCCACAAAAAUUAUUAAUUUCUGGAUCUUUCAAUUUCCUUUUUAUUCCCAUGACAACUCUUUUUUUGUUUGUAUUUGUAGGUUGUAUAAUUUUUAAAAACCACUAAAAAUGUUUAUUUUAGAAAUCAAAACUUUAAAUAUACCAGUCAGGCCAAGAGUUUAAAAGGUUGAGGUUUUUUCCACUUAUAACCUUGUUGUCAUGUUUUCACACCAAAAGGUUGAGGUUUUUUCCAUUUAUAACAGCAUAUUAUGCAUAAGUCAUCCACUUUGAUGCAAUAUUUAAUCACAUAAUCCACUUUGAUGCAAUAUUUAAGGCUGAGAUAGGAUUUGACCCUCCUCCAUGACAGUAAUGAUGUUUUGCCCCUUGAUAGAACAAGAGCAAGGAAAUACAUGCACACUCUGAUAUGGGUUAUAUAUACCGGAUCACAAAUCUAAAAGGCGUUUCAAUAGUCCUUACAUCGUAUACGCAAACACCAAUUGACUUCAUCUCACACCCAAUAAGUACUCUAACUUCCCGAUACUGUGAAUUUAUUUAAGAUUGAAAGAAAUAAUGUUUCAAGAUGGAAGAUAUCAAGGCUUAAGGACUUGUUUAAUUUCCAUGGAAAUUCAUGAUAGACAACGAUUGUGCAAAAGGCUAUGCGAAACCUAAUUAAGAAAAAUUGGCCAAGAAUUGUUGAAAUGGCCUCAAAUGUAAUUCACAAAAUAAAAGAACGUUGUGAAUAUCUUUUUUGCUAGAUGGUUAUUUUGUGAUAGAUUUGAAAAAUAGGUCAUUCUACUAUAUCGACCCCUCCUAUUUUGGUAAUUUUAGUGAUUAUCAUCGUUCUUUCUUCACAAAAGAAAAAGCCUUUUUCACUUCCUUGUGAUAUGGUGGUGUUCUUGUGGACACUAUAAGAGGGCGUGGACAUUUAAGCCUAGAUUCAAGAACAAAAUUACAAACUUUGAAGCUGUUAUGUUACAAAUUUCUAACGAUCCGCUCCAAAACUUAAUUACAUGAGAGAAAGGAAAGGAAGCGGGAAGAUUUGGAAAAAUCAUUGCUCUUGAGUUAUUUAUUAUUGGAAAGAAGAAAAGAUAAAGGAAUGGAAGAUUCAUGUUAAUUUUUUCUACCAAUUGUCCUCCCAAAUCGGAAGUGAUCGGAGAGAAAGGAAAGGAAGAUCAAUUCAUUUCUUUCUUUUCUUUUAUUGUCUUUUAUUUUUCUUUCCUUUAAUGAAUUAGGAGUUUUAUCGGGUGAGGUACGAUUUUGGUUCCACCAGUUUUGUUUUUAUAUGUAAAUCGAAUUCUCCCACAUUAGAGUUAUCCGAUUACUUCCAUCCUAAGUUAUUAUCCAAAGCUAACAUUUACAUAUAUUUGGUUACUUAGAGAUUUUAGGAUUUUUGUUAGAGGUUUAUAAAUAUUGUCUUAGCUUUUUUGGAACCAUAGAAUAUUUUAUAAAACACUAACAAGGUGCUAGUGAGAAAAGAACAAAGUGCAAGGCCGUAAAAUACUAAUGAGGGGUUGUGCAAUAAACCAACUCAACUCAUGAUAUAGUUCUUUCACUUAUUACAAGUCCAUAAAAAUGAUUGCGGUACUAUAUCAUCAAAAAUAUUAACUUUAUAAGGUCUACCGGUUCCAAAGAGCAAGGACUUACGAAACUUCCAUACAACCCAAAAAAGAGGUGAUGAUAACCACAUCAUAACAUUAUGUGAUGCACCAAAUUAAGCUUCAUGAUAUCUGCCUAUUUUAUCUAAUCAACCACCAUAGCAUUAAAAAGGGCAACCAAAUUCCACCACCGCACAACAAGAACCCAAAUGUCUAGAAUAACGAAGCACAUAGAAAACAAAUGUGGGACAGUCUAUGUGACCUUUUCACAAAGCGGAAAAAGAGUAGAACCCAAGUGUAUUCCUUGGUCAUCUAAACUAGCACAUGUUAGAAUACGAUUUAUAAAUACCCUCCACAUGAAUAUAUUCAACUUAAUCGAGACUAGAUUAUUCCAUCUCGUUGAAUAAAUAUUUGUGGGAAUGCCUCGUCGAAGAGACUAAAUAAACCCUGUUAAAUCUAACAACCAUUGCAGAAUGUCAUUUUAAUGAAACAAUGUGUAUAACUUCAUCUUGGGUUAAAAUCUUUUGGAGUUACUGGCCUUUGUCCUUCAAACAAUGCAUGUAUGGAUUAAACGCGUGUUUAACUACCUACAAAUGAUCCAAAAUGUAUGGAAGGUACUACGUACUUCUAAAGGCUUUUGGUAAUAGGAGUUUUGAGAUAUUGAUAUCUUAUAACUCAUUUGUUGAAGAAAACCAUUUGAUCCAUAAUAACCCCUAUUAAAUCCAACAACCAUUGCAAAAUGUCAUUUUAAUCAAAAGUGUCAAUGGUUGAAUUAACCUUCAUCUUUACAAGACAAGAUGAGAGCAUUACUCGUUCAAGCCGACUAUCAUGAUGUACUAAAUGUUUUUGGAAGCAACAGACUUAGGGGGUAUUUGGGAGUGUUUUUUGAACUCUAAAAGUGCUUUUAGAUAGAAGUGUUUAUUUGCUUAUAGCGAUGAUAAAAGGAGUUUUAUAAAAAAGUAUUUGGGUAAGCUUUUAUAGUAAAAAAGUCAAUAAGUCAAUAAGUAAUGUUUGGUUUAAAAAAUGUUUUUUGAAAUUAUUUUGGUUGAAAAGCUAUAAACAGUUUCAAAAAGUCACUUUUUACAUGCUUAUUAAAAAGUGUUUUUUGAAACUUAUGGAAAAGCUAUUCUAAAAAGUGUUUUUGAGUUUGUCAAACACUUUUUUUUACUUGUUAGCUUUUGAAAAAGCCAAUAAGCAAAUAAGCAAUUUUAAAAUGCAAUCCCAAACACCCCUAAAUAAAAGAUCUGGAUAUUUGACAUCAUCCAUAAUGUGUAUGAUUUCAUCUUGGGUUGAACUCCUUUGGAGAUACUACCCAUUGCCCUUCCAAUUAUUGUUGUUGCAUGUAUGGGAUCAAGCACAUCUUCAACCACCUUCAUAUGAUCCAAAAUGUUUGGAAGUUACUACGUAUUUUUAUAGGCUUUUGGUAAUGGGAGUUUUAAGAUAUUGAUAUCCUAUCAAUCAUUUGUCGAAGAAACUCAUUUAGAGUUUCGAGCUUUUUCUUCGUUUUGGUUUUCAAAUUAUCGUAUAUAUUUACUUUUGUACUGAUCAUUCAUUCACCCUUCAUAUAUAUUUAAGACUUCUUUAAUAUCAGUAAGAAAGAGUUUAACUAAACGUUGAUCUCAACCUCAAAAAAUGAGAGCAAUACCGGAUACCGCUGGACUAGAAGCCUUUUGGUAAGUAAACGUUGAAUAAAUUUAAAAAUUGUUCGGCUUGUUCAAGCAUUUAAUAUCGUAAGACAUUUUUGUAUAUUUGAUAUUGUAAGGUAUUUUAAUGGCUAGACGAUUAUUUUGUCGAAAGACGUUUAGCAUUCACAACAUCGUGUUUUAUGGUAUUACUUUUUUAAUAUCACAUCUCUAAUUUUGGAUUCAAUUAGUCGAGUCGGUAUCUUGUGGUAUUUUACUACAAGUUUCCACGUAAAUUUGUGUAUUUUUAUUAUAGUUGAUAUUUAUAACAUGUUUACUUUGUAUUUCAUGUGGAAGAUUUUGAUUAUAUUUUUACUUUUUUCUAUUUGUUUAGUGCUCCCAAAAUCCAAUAAAUAAAUAAAUAAUAGUGCGUUUAAGCCUCCCAAAAUCCAAUAAAUAAAUAAAUAAUAGUGCGUUUAAGCCGGACACUAUAAGUGGCUCACGUCUUAAAAUUGUAGUCACUAUCUAAUGACAUCUAACAUAGUCAAAAUAGGUUGGUAUGCUGUAAUGAAUUUAAAUACGCUAAUAAUAUAUCACGUAGACUAUAUGUUUGUUGAUUUAUUUCUUUGUAUUUAGUAAAAAAAAUGUCACAAAAGUCUAAUUUGAUUAAGAUUUUUGACAUUUAAAGUCAAUGAACAAAUAUAUAUUUUAAGAAAAUCGAAAUGACACUGUAUUACCUGAUUUGAGAUUAUCUUCAAGGCCUUUCGCAUAACAAUAUCAAACUUCAUAAGUGAAAUGUUGUGUUGUCAGGCUCUGCACGCAAACAAAAGGGGUUAAAGCAUCUUGUGCCAUAUGUCGGCCCAAGAAAACCCCAAAAAUCAAAUUAGUUAUUAAAAAAAAUGGUAUAACAAGUGAAUUGAUAAUUUGUCAAGAGCUAUUUCAUACCAUAUGAUCAAGGAGUUGACCAUGAAUGAAUCACAUGGAACUAAACCUUCGUGAUCAAAAUGCCAUGUUGAGGUUGAGGCUAGUGUAAAAGACAGAUAAUUGAAUAGCAGCUUCCAACUUCCACCGUAUAACAUCAAGCCAAGUAGGGCAAUAUUUAACAUUUCAUACACAACCAUUCAUUAUGAGUUAUGACAUGGUAUAAAAUCAUCAUUUUGUUUUGGAAAAUCCGGUUUAAAAAUUACGUAGUACAACAGUCACAUUUAAUAUUUUAUCUAAAUGAAAGCCCAUCAGAGUUGCUAUUCGGCUUUUCAUUUGGAUAAAAUGUAAGCCCAAUCAAUUCCAUGUGUGAUGUGUCAAACAUAAAGAAGAAAAUCAACCCACCACAUUUACAAUCCAACUCCAAGUAUCAAAUAGAUUGCAAAAGAACAAGAUUACAUGUAAAAGUAACAACUUACAUAUUACAUAACACGUGACCCAUAAAGUAUAUAGGCUUUCGCUUUACAGACCCGAACCUGAAACACAGUAACUCAGCACAUCGAAGUGUGCUCUUAUUCUAAGUUCCAGGCUCCUUAAAGUACACGAAAAUAUUACAUAAUAAAAAGAUAGUACACAACAACAUUGACACCAUUUGUGCAACAAACUUAAGAGACAGACCUUGACCUUGACAUUGACCCGUUGACCACACUCAAACAAUCGUCCCAAAACGUUUAUGUUCAAUAACUGGGCCGCACACUGAGCCUUGAGGCUAUCUUCUGGCCCAAAGACUGGUCAGCCUGCAAAAAAAUCACCCAAAAAUUAAAAUUACAACCAAACAAGAUUAAAAAGGGGGACAUUGUUACAUGAAUAUUAGAACAUACCUGGGUCCAGUAAGAGAUCCAAAUGCUGCGGAGCUCAUGGGUGACCCGUGGGUCGGACAACAUCUUAACCAUUCGGUGAAUGAAUCGUUCUUGCCUAUAAAUAAAAUUAACAGUUUAUAAAAUUGAUGGAAUCUUGAAACAAUUAUAGAAAAAACAAAUGAGAUAUAAUAAUAAUUAAUAACUACCUGUCAGGUUCCCAGGAUCUGUAUCUCUCUCCUGGCUGCUUGAAAUCGUUAAAUUUUGGGAUCACAGUCUGCAUCGAAAAGAAACCAUAGUUAUUUACUUUUGUGUUUUUUCUUUCUAAUGCUCGUAUUUGAUAAAACUGAGUCAUAGAAGAAACCAAGGAAACAAGAAACUAACCCUUUCACGGGUUCCAGUAACCCUAGCAGAAUUGAUCGGGUAUUUCUGAGCAUGUUGAACACGAUCAUACCUCGAAGGGAAGUAAUCAACCUGGAAGAAAUCCAUCGCAUGUAUUUUAGAAAGUUUUGAUUUUGGUUAUAUCUUUUUCUUAUAAUGAAACCCACAAAUUUUUAUGAACUAAUUAAAGAUAACAAAAUGAAAAGAUAACCCACCUCUUCAUCUCUAUGCAUGAAGUUCAUAUUUCCAUCAUAAUGAUUGUUAUGAUGAGCACAUUUGGGGGCGUUGACCGGAAGUUGAAGAUAAUUCGGUCCAAGACGAUGCCUUUGAGUAUCGGAAUACGCAAAGAUUCUCCCUUGAAGCAUCUUAUCAUCGGAAUAGUAGAUUCCGGGGACAACAAGUCCGGGAUUGAACGCCAAUUGUUCAUUCUCAGCAAAGAAGUUAUCAAUGUUCUUGUUCAAAACCAUACGCCCAACCGGCUGCAAAGGUACCACAUCUUCCGGCCAUACCAUCGUUCCAUCAAGUGGGUCAAAGUCAAGCCUGUCUUCAUGAUCCGGGUCAAUAA